RNAcentral lists this ribosomal RNA (585 nucleotides) under Phlebiopsis gigantea. RNAcentral's name for it is "eukaryotic LSU rRNA". The stretch from base 198 to 351 matches the Rfam family "5.8S ribosomal RNA". Lineage: Eukaryota; Fungi; Basidiomycota; Agaricomycetes; Polyporales; Phanerochaetaceae. The record is from RNAcentral.
CCGGUUUUGAACGGGUUGUAGCUGGCCUCAUACUGUGGCAUGUGCACGCCUGUCUUCAUCCACUCUUCAACCUCUGUGCACUUAUUGUAGGCUGGUGAAGGGUCGCAUAGUAAUGUGCGGCUUGAAGCCUGGUCUACGUUUUACUACAAACGCUUCAGUUAUAGAAUGUCUAUCUGCGUAUAACGCAUUUAAUAUACAACUUUCAGCAACGGAUCUCUUGGCUCUCGCAUCGAUGAAGAACGCAGCGAAAUGCGAUAAGUAAUGUGAAUUGCAGAAUUCAGUGAAUCAUCGAAUCUUUGAACGCACCUUGCGCUCCCUGGUAUUCCGGGGAGCAUGCCUGUUUGAGUGUCAUGGAAUUCUCAACUUCUAAUACUUUUUUGUAUCAGAAGCUUGGAUUUGGAGGCUCGUGCUGGCUCUCUCGUUAGAGUCGGCUCCUCUUAAAUGAAUUAGCGUGAAUCACUAUGGAUCGCUUCGGUGUGAUAAUUAUCUGCGCCGUAGUCGUGAAGUAUUAAUAAAAGUUCUCGCUUCUAAUCGUCCUUCACGGGACAAUUAACCCUGACUUUUUGACCUCAAAUCAGGUAGGAC